Molecule: ribosomal RNA, 465 nt
Filed under: Vreelandella stevensii
Lineage: Bacteria; Pseudomonadati; Pseudomonadota; Gammaproteobacteria; Oceanospirillales; Halomonadaceae
Description: partial 16S ribosomal RNA
Rfam family: Bacterial small subunit ribosomal RNA
Source: RNAcentral
CCUACGGGUGGCUGCAGUGGGGAAUAUUGGACAAUGGGGGCAACCCUGAUCCAGCCAUGCCGCGUGUGUGAAGAAGGCCCUCGGGUUGUAAAGCACUUUCAGUGAGGAAGAACGCCUGGUGGUUAAUACCCAUCAGGAAAGACAUCACUCACAGAAGAAGCACCGGCUAACUCCGUGCCAGCAGCCGCGGUAAUACGGAGGGUGCGAGCGUUAAUCGGAAUUACUGGGCGUAAAGCGCGCGUAGGUGGCUUGAUAAGCCGGUUGUGAAAGCCCCGGGCUCAACCUGGGAACGGCAUCCGGAACUGUCAAGCUAGAGUGCAGGAGAGGAAGGUAGAAUUCCCGGUGUAGCGGGGAAAUGCGUAGAGAUCGGGAGGAAUACCAGUGGCGAAGGCGGCCUUCUGGACUGACACUGACACUGAGGUGCGAAAGCGUGGGUAGCAAACAGGAUUAGAUACCCGGGUAGGC